GUUCCUUUCACCUGUAAAGUUAACCAAGGUUUCUCCAACAGCUGGGUGUCUAGCUCCAAAGUCAAGCUUUUUGGUGAACUGUCUAUGGAGCUCCUUCCAGUCCCCAGUGAGGAGAUGUCUGGCUCAGGAACCCAGAAACUCAUGUGUUCUGGGUGGGGCUUCAACCCUCAGAUCACGUGGCUCUCUGGGUCUAAACAGAGGGAUGCAGCAGCCAAUGACAUAAAGAUAGGGGAAGACGGAUGUGUGGCAGUAACCAGUCAUAUCACAGUAACACAGCAGGAGUGGAACCAGGGUAUGGUCUUCACCUGUGAGGUCAUCGACAAGUAUCUUCAGAAAGUCAGGAAGAGCAUCAAUAUAUGUGCAGUGACUCCAAUAUCAUAUCAGAAAGUGGGGGUUUACCUACAGGGACCCACUCUUCAAGAGCUGAGGACAGAUGGAAUGGUGCCUCUCACCUGUCUGCUGGUGGGUCUCAGCCUUGGGGGCUUUUCUGUCAGCUGGAAGGUGGAUGGGGUUGUGGCUUCUCAAGGUGGAGUCACACCGACCCCCAAGGAUCAUUCAAAUGGGACACAGACUGAGCAGAUCAUGUUUAACGUGUCUGCGAGGGACUGGCAUGCGCACAAACAUGUGUCUUGUGAGGUGAAGCACCACCGCUCCAGCCAAGCCCAGGAGGAGCAUAUCACCAAAUGCAGAGCUGAGAAACUGUCUUUUGCAUAA
Molecule: non-coding RNA, 714 nt
Organism: Oncorhynchus keta (chum salmon)
Lineage: Eukaryota; Metazoa; Chordata; Actinopteri; Salmoniformes; Salmonidae
Source: the annotation of a RefSeq genome assembly